Long non-coding RNA from Onychostoma macrolepis, 539 nucleotides. RefSeq lists it as uncharacterized. Lineage: Eukaryota; Metazoa; Chordata; Actinopteri; Cypriniformes; Cyprinidae. The transcript is spliced from 3 exons. The record is from RefSeq and is a predicted model, not a curated record.
AUCGGUUCACGCUCCUGGUGGCGGUAGUGGGCGAAUUUUUUGCGAUCCGUCAAAAAAACGAAGAAGACGACUUUCAGCGGCGGCACGAUAGAUGAGUGGAAGAGGUUAUGGAUACAGAAGACCAUAAGCAGAUUCCUGGAGAAAUAGUAUGCCACAUUCCUGAGAUGCUUCCGGCAGAUAAACUGGAUAAACUAAUUUAUAUUUCAUUAAUGAAUUAUUAGCAAGGUAUUGUAUGAGAACUUCUGACCAAAGUGUUUUUUAAUAUAACAUAAGCAUGUUUCAUCUUCUGUGUCAUGUGACACUCUCUUCACUGCUAGGGGUUUUUAGAAACAUGUGAGUUUGUGUUUAAUUCAAGAACCAGUUGAUUGUUAAUCUCAGCGUGAAAACUUGUGUAACGCUUUAUUGCAAGAAUUAUCUGCACAUUUUUAUAUUAUUUUACCUUUCUAUUUGCUUUUAUUAUGAACCGUGCCUUAUUUUUAUGCUAUACAAAUGCAUUGCACUUAAUUGCACUGACAUGUAUCUAUCUAUGUUUUGUAUUA